Non-coding RNA from Salmo salar (Atlantic salmon), 416 nucleotides. The record is from RefSeq and is a predicted model, not a curated record. Lineage: Eukaryota; Metazoa; Chordata; Actinopteri; Salmoniformes; Salmonidae.
CAGAGAGGGAGAAAUCACACGGCUGCUCUUCAAAAGGGAAACCUGUGUACAGCAGCCGGCAAAGUGCGUGGGAUCAUACUCAGAAUGCAGGUUGACUACUCCUACUUUCAAACAGCAGGCGAACACUUCAACUCUUACAGUACACAUCUAAACAGCACAGACCAGUACACAUCUAAACAGCACAGACCAGGACACCCAGGUGAACUGCUGCAGUCAGUCUUCCCACCUGUUGCCAUUUUGAAUAAUGUAGGCCAACCACAUUGCUGUGUGUAUACAAAACAAAUGCUCUACCAUUUGUUAGUGGUUCAGUGUUCCCUUGCUACUCAAGUUUAGACUUAAAUAUGCAAGAACACGCUAAACAAAUAAGUCUCAAGUGACUUUCUUGUUUAUCCUUGUCUGGUGUAAUUGUGUUGACC